CAGUAGCCGCGGUAAUACAGAGGGUGCGAGCGUUAAUCGGAUUUACUGGGCGUAAAGCGUGCGUAGGCGGCUUUUUAAGUCGGAUGUGAAAUCCCUGAGCUUAACUUAGGAAUUGCAUUCGAUACUGGGAAGCUAGAGUAUGGGAGAGGAUGGUAGAAUUCCAGUUGUAGCGGUGAAAUGCGUAGAGAUCUGGAGGAAUACCGAUGGCGAAGGCAGCCAUCUGGCCUAAUACUGACGCUGAGGUACGAAAGCAUGGGGAGCAAACAGGAUUAGAUACCCCAGUAGUCCCUGUCUCUUAUAC
RNAcentral lists this ribosomal RNA (301 nucleotides) under uncultured bacterium. RNAcentral describes it as "partial 16S ribosomal RNA". It matches the Rfam family "Bacterial small subunit ribosomal RNA", at positions 509 to 807 of the family's 1533-position model. The record is from RNAcentral.